GAUGAACGCUAGCAGUAUGCCUUAUACAUGCAUGUCGAACGAAGUGCUUUAUGCACUUAGUGGCAAAUGGGUGAGUAACACGUACUUAACCUACCUUUUAGAUUGGAAUAACCAUGAGAAAUCGUGGAUAAUACCGAAUAUGAUUUAUUUCGCAUGAAAUUAUUUUGAAAGAAGCGUUUGCUUCGCUAAAAAGAUGGGGGUGCGCGACAUUAGUUGUGGUAGGUAAAGCUACAGACUAUGAUGUCUAGCCGAGCUGAGAGGCUGACCGGCCACAUUGGGACUGAGAUACGGCCCAGACCGCUACGGUGGGCAGCAGUAGGGAAUUUUUCACAAUGAACGAAAGUUUGAUGGAGCAAUACUGUGUGCAGGAAGAAGGUCUUCGGAUUGUAAACUGCUGUCGUAAGGAAAGAAAGCUUUUAGAGGAAAUGCUAAAAGUUUGACGGUACUUUAUAAG
Molecule: ribosomal RNA, 454 nt
Filed under: uncultured bacterium
Lineage: Bacteria
Description: bacterial SSU rRNA
Rfam family: Bacterial small subunit ribosomal RNA
Source: RNAcentral